GACGCGAAAGCUAGGGUAGCAACGGGAUUAGAUACCCCGGUAGUCCUAGCUGUAAACGAUGGAUACUAGGUGUGGGUGGUAUUGACCCAUCCGUGCGUAGCUAACGCGAUAAGUAUCCCGCUGGGACUACGGCCGCAAGGUUAAAACUCAAAUGAAAUUGACGGGGGCCCGCACAAGCGGUGGAGCAUGUGGUUUAAUUCGAUGCAACGCGAAGACCCUUACCUACUCUUGACAUCCAGAGAACUUAGCAGAGAUGCUUUGGUGCCUUCGGGAACUCUGAGACAGGUGCUGCAUGGCUGUCGUCAGCUCGUGUUGUGAAAUGUUGGGUUAAGUCCCGCAACGAGCGCAACCCUUAUCCUUUGUUGCCAGCGGUUAGGCCGGGAACUCAAAGGAGACUGCCAGUGAUAAACUGGAGGAAGGUGGGGAUGACGUCAAGUCAUCAUGGCCCUUACGAGUAGGGCUACACACGUGCUACAAUGGCGCAUACAAAGAGAAGCGACCUCGCGAGAGCAAGCGGACCUCAUAAAGUGCGUCGUAGUCCGGAUUGGAGUCUGCAACUCGACUCCAUGAAGUCGGAAUCGCUAGUAAUCGUAGAUCAGAAUGCUACGGUGAAUACGUUCCCGGGCCCUGUACACACCGCCCGUCACACCAUGGGAGUGGGUUGCAAAAGAAGUAGGUAGCUUAACCUUCGGGAGGGCGCUUACCACUUUGUGAUUCAUGACUGGGGUGAAGUCGUAACAAGGUAAAUCC
This 750-nucleotide ribosomal RNA is filed under the name uncultured bacterium. Its description in RNAcentral is "bacterial SSU rRNA". It matches the Rfam family "Bacterial small subunit ribosomal RNA", at positions 750 to 1503 of the family's 1533-position model. The record is from RNAcentral.